GGCACCACCCAGUCUCAUGUCAAAUUAUAAUCCCCAAUGUUGGAAGAGGGGCCUAGUGGGAGGUGAUUGGAUCAUGAGGGGAACUUCCCUCUUGCUGUUCAGGUGAUAAUGAGUGAGCUCUCAUGAGAUCUGGUUGUUUAAUGUGUGUAGCACCUUCCCCUUUGCUCUCUCUUCCUCCUGCUCCAGCCACGUGGUAUAUGUCUGCCUCCCCUUCGCCUUCUGCCGUGAUUCUCUGGAGGUCAGAAGUCCAAAAUCUGGGUGCCAGCAGAUCCAGGCUCCCUCUGAAGACCCGAGGACAGACUCCUUUCUUGCUUCUUCCAGUAUCGGCGAUUUGUUGGCCUGUGGCUGCUUCACCCCAAUCUCCGCCUCGUUCUUCUCAUGGCCCACUCCCCUGUGUCUGUGUCUCAAAUCUCCCUCUACCCUUUUCUCAUAAGGACAGCUGUCAGUGGAUCUAGAGUCCAUCCUAAAUCCAAGAUGAUCUCAAGACCCUUCGCUGCAUCUGCAAAGACCUUUCCCCAAAUAAGGAACUACUCAAACCUCAUAUGAAAUGCAGGAAUCCAACAGAUAGGCUGUUUGUAGAGUAAGCUCAUUGCUUGGAGUGAGAACGCCCCUCCGCCUUCAUUGAAGAAACCGCAUCUAUGUCAUUCCCAGGAUUCUCCCCAAUGACCACCAUACUAGGCUCAGCAACAACCCUGAACUUUCAAUAUAAUCAGACAUAUUUGAGAGUGAGGAGGACAGAAGAGGUAGAAGAGAAAUGCUUCAAUACCACCCCUAUUCAGAAGAAAUUUCAAAAAUGCUUGAAGGAGGCCAGGCACAGUGGCUCAUGCCUGUAAUCCCAGCAUUUUGAAAGGCCAAGGCAGGUGAAUCACUUGAGGUCAGGAAUUCAAAACCAGCCUGGCCAACGUGGAAAAACCCCACCUCUACUAAAAAUACAAAAAUUAUCUGGGUGUUGUGGUGUGUGCCUGUAAUCCCAGCCACACAGGAGGCUGAGGCAGGAGAAUUGCUUAAACUUGGGAGGUGGAGUGUGCAGUGAGCUGAGAUCGUGCCACUGCACUCCAAUCUGGGCCACUCUAGAGUGAGACCCUGUCUCAAACAAAAACAAAUUUAAAAAGAGAAAGAAAAUGCUUGAGGCUGGGUGUGAUGGCUCACACCUGUAAUCCUAGCACCAUGGGAGGCCCAAGGUGGGAGAAGAUCACUUGAGGCCAGGAGUUCAAGACCAGCUGCAGCAACCUUGUGAGACCCCAUCUUUAUUCAAAAAUUAAAUUAAAAAUUUAAAAAGAAAACUCUUGACUCUACUAAGAUACUGUUGGUAACAUGGACAGCCUCUGCACGAACAGCGUAUCGUGAUUAACAUGACUUUGCCACACACAUCUCUGACAAGCUGCAGAGGGCCGGGUGGUGGGUGAAAGCCUAUUUCUCCAGGAAACAAUGAACUUGGAGAAGCCGUGGCUUUCGUGGAAUCUUCCUGGAAGUGUCACGCAGGUAAGCCUGUGAAAGGGAAGAUUUGGGUAAAUUCAUCGGAGUUUCAGUCUGGAC
Long non-coding RNA from Callithrix jacchus (white-tufted-ear marmoset), 1536 nucleotides. RefSeq lists it as uncharacterized. The record is from RefSeq and is a predicted model, not a curated record. Lineage: Eukaryota; Metazoa; Chordata; Mammalia; Primates; Cebidae.